CUAAAACUUCCGCAACCCUAAAAUAAUAGUGGGUAAUUUAUUUUACACUCCCUCCUUUUUUUCCCAAUCUUUUCAGAAACUUCCGCCUUUCCCAAUCUUUACUCUCUUCUUUCUCUGAUUUUCACUCUUAAUUAAAAAGAAACUCAGCCUUCCAUGCUCUCCUCUUUCUGCUUGCCUUCUUCUUCCAUGAAUCUCGUUUGGGAUUCAUGAAGUAAUUUCUUUUUACUUUAAUGAGAUUUUAAUGUUAAGAUUUGAAAUUGGGGUUUUAAGAAUACAAUUUCAAUUUGCCCAAACAACUAAAAGGCACGGCUCAUACAGAUCUGUGGAAUUUCGUUCUGGUCUUGGAAUUUUUUUGGACUACAAGAGGAAAGAAGCACUGUGGGUGGCAAAGAAGUUGCAUAUUGAGAGGACAGGAAGACUGAUUUAUUGAAAAAUAUAAUCGAAGAUUUUGGGAUUCUAUCGAUAUCAGAGGUUCAGCAGCUGCACUUGAAAGAUAAUUCUUUCCUAUGGAUAAAUCUUGGAUUAUAAAACCAAGGAAUACCACUGAGUAUUUGUUUGGGUUAAAUAAGUUUUUAGAUUUUGCAUUUGCUAAUGCUGUUAUGGGAGAUAGAAUAAAAUGUCCUUGUCCUAAAUGUGGAUUCGCAAAGUGGCAGACUAGAGAUGUAGCGUUUGAUCAUUUGGUAUGCAAACCAUUCCCUCAAAAUUAUGUCACUUGGAGUAUUCAUGGUGACAGAAUUGUAUUGACAACUUAUUCUUGGCAACUACAAUGCUCAAGCAGAUAAGCCUAUCAUAUGACAGUUUUCAUGUGAGUAUCAUGAAAACUACAAUGCUCACGCAGAUAAGCCUUUCAAUAUCCAGGUACAAGGACUUAUAAAGAAUCUUUCAGACUUUUUUUUUCUUUGCAGUAAUAUUUUCAGAAUAUACUAUAUGGUAAAUAUUGAUAUGACAAAUGACGAUAUAAUUUUAUCGUUCGCACGAUGCCUGACUCUUUAAGACUAACUAUUCACACUUGUCUCUGCAUAUAUUAACUUCAGUGACAUAUUGCUUCUAAUACAUGAGUGUAUAUCAAAACGACAACGAAAGAGAGAAGCUUUCCAUUGGAUUAAAGUCAUAUAUGUUUUACACUUAUCUACUGGAACUUGCUCCUUAUUUUUAGGAAGUUGUCAUGUGUCUAAGUCAAUAAUGAACUUCUGCAAUUGGUUUGUUUGAUCUGAAGCCAGAUUUUCAGGGAAAAGGGCAUAUAUAAGUACAUCAUAUAUACAAUAGUCUAAUGGACAGAUUUAUUAACAUUCAUAUGUUGAAGUAGGACUUUUCAUCUUAUUCAUAAUUUGUAAAGAUCAACUUGCAAAAUGUUGACAUGUUGUGUUAUAGUCUGCAGACUACUGAAAUUACAGCUAACUGCUUGAACAAAAUAUCCUACAUAUUAACAGCUAGUUGUGAAUUAUAGAAUAUAGCUGAGACAAAGUGCAAGAAUAAGUAUAUUUUGAAAAUACUUAUGUCAUGAUUUGUUCUAAUGAUUAACCUACUUAAAGAAGGUUAUGAAGUGUUGGACCUUUAGGGAGAAUGAUAAAACAAGUGCAUAUGCCCAACUUUGUCAACUACUGAUGCUCUAGGCUACUGAUUGCACCUUAUGGCAGGAAAUAGAUUAUUAUUGCGAAGCGUAAUAGUAACAGAUUUAUAAUGUUGGCUUAGAUUUUUUUAAUGUGUAUUGUGUUUAAGAAAAAAUUGAGCUAGCAGUGAGUGAAAGUACAGUGGAUGAGUCUGAAAUUUCUCCAAAUGAUGAUGUUGGUAAGGUGCUAGGCAAAGAGCAUCCUGGAAGGGUGAGAUGUUUGGGAUUAGCAGCUACUCCAAGCAAUACUUUCAGAGAGAUAAAUCUUCGUCUUGGUAAUAUUAGAAUUGUGAGUAAUAAUGUUGGAUGUUCUUCUUCUGGAUGCCAAGAAAAGUACAAUCAAUUGAUGAGUACUCUCAAGGCAUACAUGAUAAUGAAGGAAGGGUCAAUACCAGAACAAUUUGCUGAGAUCUUUGCUUCUCUUCCUACAACGCCAAGUGAUGCAGCUAGUGUACCCGUUUCACCGACAGAUGCAAGAACAUCUUCUAGCGCAAGUAAUCCCAAUGACAACCAUUGAGAUUCAUUUUAAUUGAAGUGGAUGUAUUAGGACAAUGUAAUAGCUGACUAAUAUAGAUGGUUAACUAUGUUCUAAUUUAGUUUGAUGACAUAUGAUACUAUUGUGUAAUAGUAUUUUUCACGGUUAAUGAAAUGUUGAUGUUUCUUAAUUUUAA
This is a long non-coding RNA of Nicotiana attenuata, 2280 nucleotides long. RefSeq lists it as uncharacterized. The transcript has 4 exons. Lineage: Eukaryota; Viridiplantae; Streptophyta; Magnoliopsida; Solanales; Solanaceae. The record is from RefSeq and is a predicted model, not a curated record.